CAGUAGCCGCGGUAAUACGGAGGGUGCAAGCGUUGCUCGGAAUCACUGGGCGUAAAGGACGCGUAGGCGGAUUAUCAAGUCUCUUGUGAAAUCUAACGGCUUAACCGUUGAACUGCUUGGGAAACUGAUAAUCUAGAGUAAGGGAGAGGCAGAUGGAAUUCUUGGUGUAGGGGUAAAAUCCGUAGAGAUCAAGAAGAAUACCCAUUGCGAAAGCGAUCUGCUGGAACUUAACUGACGCUAAUGCGUGAAAGCGUGGGGAGCAAACAGGAUUAGAUACCCCCGUAGUCCCUGUCUCUUAUAC
Molecule: ribosomal RNA, 301 nt
Filed under: uncultured bacterium
Lineage: Bacteria
Description: partial 16S ribosomal RNA
Rfam family: Bacterial small subunit ribosomal RNA
Source: RNAcentral